RNAcentral lists this ribosomal RNA (369 nucleotides) under Cryptocercus luanchuanensis. Its description in RNAcentral is "partial 16S large subunit ribosomal RNA". Lineage: Eukaryota; Metazoa; Arthropoda; Insecta; Blattodea; Cryptocercidae. The record is from RNAcentral.
CUCUUCUUGAAUAUAUUUUGAUGUAUGGCCUGCCCACUGAGUAUUAAAGGGCCGCGGUAUUUUGACCGUGCAAAGGUAGCAUAAUCAUUAGUCUUUUAAUUGUAGGCUGGAAUGAAUGGUUUGACGAGGUGUUAACUGUCUUUAAUUUUUUUUAUUGAAUUUAAAUUUUAGGUUAAAAUGCCUAAAUAUUUUUUUGGGACGAGAAGACCCUAUAGAGUUUUAUAUAUUUUUAUUUUUUUUGUGUGAUAAUUUUUGAUUUAAAAAUUUAUUUUGUUGGGGUGAUGGGAAGAUUGAAUUAACUCUUUUUGUUUUAUUAUAUUUAUUUAUAUGUAUUUGAUCCAUUUUUAUUGAUUAUAAGACUAAAUUACC